AGAAUCAACGCUGGCGGCGUGCCUAACACAUGCAAGUCGAACGAGAAAGUGGAGCAAUCCAUGAGUACAGUGGCGUACGGGUGAGUAACACGUGACUACCUACCCUCGAGUGGGGAAUAACCUCGGGAAACCGGGGCUAAUACCGCAUAACAUCUACGGAUCAAAUGCGUAAGCAGCUUGAGGAGGGGGUCGCGGCCGAUUAGCUAGUUGGUGAGGUAAUGGCUCACCAAGGCAAUGAUCGGUAGCCGGCCUGAGAGGGCGCACGGCCACACUGGAACUGAAACACGGUCCAGACUCCUACGGGAGGCAGCAGUGGGGAAUUUUGCGCAAUGGGGGAAACCCUGACGCAGCAACGCCGCGUGGAGGAUGAAGCCCCGUUGGGGUGUAAACUCCUUUCGAUCGGGACGAUUAUGACGGUACCGGAUGAAGAAGCACCGGCUAACUCUGCGCCAGCAGCCGC
Molecule: ribosomal RNA, 460 nt
Filed under: uncultured bacterium
Lineage: Bacteria
Description: SSU rRNA
Rfam family: Bacterial small subunit ribosomal RNA
Source: RNAcentral